This is a long non-coding RNA of Orcinus orca (killer whale), 8431 nucleotides long. RefSeq lists it as uncharacterized. The record is from RefSeq and is a predicted model, not a curated record. The transcript is spliced from 3 exons. Lineage: Eukaryota; Metazoa; Chordata; Mammalia; Artiodactyla; Delphinidae.
CCCUGCCGCUCAUUUUCUUUGGCUGCAAAGAGGAUCCAGUUCUGGACGUCACAGAGCCCGUUCAGGCCCAAACCACAAACCGGAUAUGCUUUUCUUUUCCUUUCCCUCCUUUCUGUGUGUUUGCGGGGUUAGUUCAUCCUUGUGUUUCGCCACAGCCAUUGAAAUGUUCUUGUUUGCUUGUUACUUAACCACACAGAGUGUCAGUCACUGAAGGUACCUGUUGCCAGCUGAGCAAACAGCCCGGGACAGAAAGCAACGUUUCCUCAACUCUCCGCGGUGCCGUGUUUCUCCACUACUUCAGUGUCACCUUGGACAUAUUUCAAAGUUCAGCCUCAUGAGGAAAAGAGAACCGUGUUGGCUUGAGAAUCGCCUGUGCUCGUCACGAGCUGCGGGUCACGUCACAGGAGAGUCUGCCAGACUGCUUUCUGGUGGAAGAACUUAUGAAGUAGUUUUGUCACCUAAGUGAACUUGAAUCUCCUCAAAAUCUCAACAAUAAAUCUAAGAGCAUGUUCAUGGGAAACUCAGAGGACAGAGCGACAUGUCAAACCACGUCACGGGCGUGCAGUAAGUGAAAUCGUGCUGUGUGGAUCAGUAGUCGAUUUCUUUACAUUGCUGAGUGGUACAUUACUCAGCUUCUACUUCUAUCUGAAGACGAUGACAGUGCCUGUCUCAACACAUCUUGGUGAGCAUUAAGCAUUAAAAUGUGUUGAAAGCUUUGUUAAGAUGAUAGGAAAAAAGUAUCACCCUUUCCAGCAAAUUUAAAAAUUUUUAAAAUACUUCCUAAGAUGGUAGGGAAGACAAGUGUCUAUAUUUUAAUUUGUGUUUCAUUGCCAGUGAGAGCACACAUCUUUGCUGCUUUUUGAUGGGGGAACAAGCACAGGUGGAGUGGUCCUCUGGCCUCAGGCUCACUGCUGAGCUAUGGUUUGGCUAUCACAGAGCAUCUCUUUUCUGCAAGAGCCGUAGGGUCACCCAAAUAUAAAAGAACAUGAAGAAAAAGGGUGGGCUACGCCCCCUUUUUGCCAUGAUGCUCAGAAACAGUAGUUGCGGCCCUUCUCUGGUCACCCCAUAGUGUGAUGGAAUAUUCUGGAAAGCCUCUAGGUGGGAACGUUGCAGGAGAUGGCUUUUAUGAUUGGCCUGAGUCGGAAGCUGCCCCCCUCCAUGCCUCCAUUCACUCAACACUUCUGUGCUGUAUCUACACAGUGACUUGUGCACCCCUAUGCCAGUGUGAGUACUGCAUCUUCCCACCCAGGAGACCCUGAAGUCUAGCAAAGCCUAGCUAUUCAGCACUUUGAAUAACAAGUGUGGUUAAUCAGUACUGUUGGUGCUCUAGUGGGAAGAAGUACAAAGCCUGAGUACCUUUCUGCAGGUGAGGAUGGCUUCACAGGGGAAGUGACAAAAUAGAGCUAGAUCUUAACAAUAAAUAUGAGCUUGUCAGCUGGAGAAAAGAGAGGAGAGCAUCUGACACCAAGCUGUGGGGAAACAAUGGGUGAUUUGCAACGGGAGCACCAAGGAUGAAUUUUGGUAGCCACGCGACCGAGGUCUAACAGAGCUGAGCAGAAGUGAUGUGCACGACUCCAAGCCCGGAGUGUGGGCUUCAGCCCCCUCUGCAGGCUCUGCUCUGCUCUCGUCCCCUUCCAGAUGGGGACACCGCCCACGUGGUUAUGGAAGCCACGCUUGACGAUGGCAGAGACUAUCACCCUGGCGACCAUAACAAUUUUGUGAGAGGGCUGCCCCACCAGUAUUUUGCCCCUGGUAUUCAUAAGUGAGCAGGAAAUAGCUUCUGUUGUCUUUGACAUUAUGUAUCAAAUAUACUAGCUUACUGUGUGCUUACUAAAUACAAAUAAGCCAGCUUCCAGUAACCAGUAAACCGCGGGCAGGGAGGGAAAAAUAGUGAAGGGCUUUGAAUGCCACACCAGGGAGUCUGGGUUUAUUGCUGUAGGAACAGGAUGACUUUUUUGUUUGUUUGUUUGUUUUUGCGGUACGCGGGCCUCUCACUGCUGUGGCCUCUCCCGUUGCGGAGCACAGGCUCCGGACGCGCAGGCUCAGCGGCCGUGGCUCACGGGCCCAGCCGCUCCGCGGCACGUGGGAUCUUCGCGGACCAGGACACGAACCCGCGUCCCCUGCCUCGGCAGGCGGACCCUCAACCACUGCGCCACCAGGGGAGCCCAACAGGAUGAUUUUUAAACACAGAGUGACAUGCUGAGUGUGCGUGUGGAAUGAGUGGGACACACCUUCCAAUCCACGGACAACACCCUGGUCUCUGAGAUCUUUGCGCGUUACGAAUUCCUUCAUCAGCCUCCACUAGACUGAACUUUUGGAAGUGCCAGAUAUGAACCCCACUGGCAUCUUGAGAGUCUGCAGGGUCCUCAGAAAUAAGCUAGAAGGUAUUUGAAGAGGGUUCUUUAACAAUCACAAAUUCCUCCUCUUCCUCUGUGUAUGCCCUGUGCAAUACGCAAUGUGGCUAUCUAUCAAGAGAUAGGGUACGUCAGCUCCUCCCCUGAAACAGAGGCACGGCCAUAUGACUUACUUGGGCUCAAGGGACAUUAGCACACACGACACAAGUUGGCUCAAAACACACUUGUGUAUUGGAGCUCGGUCACGCUUGCUCCCUGGGGCCUCCAGGUAAAGAAGUCUGGGCUGGUCUCCUUAAGAAUGAUAUAGAACAUAUGGAGAAGGGCAGACAGACAUGUGAAGCCAUCUUAGAGGAAUCAUCCCAAGCAAUCCAUCAGAUGAUUGGGAAGCUCAUGAGUGACCCCAGGUAAGACCAGCAGAAGACCUGCCCAGCUGAGCCCAGCCCAAGUUGCCAACCAGAGAAUCAUGAACAAUAACCCACUAAGUUCUGGGUAUUUUGUUACACAGCAAUAGAUAACUGAUACAAUGCAUGGGAUAUCUCACUGUUGAGAAGAUCCCAGUUGAUGCCAGUACAGAAGAAAUAAGCCAUAGACUCACAACCCCUACCCCCAUUCCCUCAGAGCUCUCAGAGACUCAACAGAGCAGCUGCUAAUAUUCUGUUUGAACAUAUGGAUUUAUUUUUCUAUAAAACAGAAAGAAAAUAAUUUCCUUUAGUCACUCCAGUUUUGUUUCUGAUAGUUCUUGUGCUUCUAUUUUUUCCCUUCUCUUCUUUCUAGUUUCUGUUGUAAGAAUAGUCUAGUUGUUAGAUAUUUUAACUCCGCGCACAUGCCUCUCUCUACCUGGGGUAACACCAGAAUGUUGAAAUUUCCUUUGCUUUUGUGGACGCUCAUGCUUCUUUCACAUGUAGCUUCAUUACUUCCUCUUUUCAAUUUCUUAAAGAUAGCCCUUAAUUAAGAAAGAAGAACCUUCUUUAGAUUUCUUAAUGUUUUCCUUGACCUUCUCUCCCAAAUUAAAUAUGUAAUCUUUAUAUUACAAUUACCUGAAAUUAUCAAUAUUAUUUACAUAAAUCUCUGUAUAGAACCCUGUCUUCUGUAUGACAGGAAUUGGCAAUAUGAAAAAAAAAUUCAGAAUCACAUGAUAGGGAAAGUUGUUAGCUAUAGAACACUUGCUCAUCAACGAUUCUUUAAAUUUCACCAUUAGAAUGCAUCUCUCACUAGAGAUUUAUCUUUUCUAUCUGAAAAGUCUUAUCUUUCAGCCAAAAGUUUAACAUCAUUGUGGCUUCUUCUCUGCCAUUUGUGCAUUCAGUCACUAUUCACUGAGUUUUCUGAAUACUCAGCUGGGGCAUGGAGAUAGAAAGAUGAAUACAAAACUCUGCCUUCAAGAGAGAAAGCACGGUGAUAGAAAAAUAAUAUUACUUCAACGUGCUAAGUGUCAUAAUAGACACGCACAGGGCAUUCCAGGAGGCAGAGAUCUGUGUGUGUGUUUGGGGGUAGCUGUGAAUAAGGAAAGGUCUGAAGAAGGAGAUACUGGAUUAGGCUGUAAGUUACAAGUAGGGGUUAGUCGUGAGAUGUGUAUGAGAUGUGGGGGAAGCAUGUAAUGUGAGGCAGGGCAGGAUGAGAAGGCGGGUGGACAGAGCCUGUCCAGUGGUCAGAGGCUGUAGCGAACCAGGUUGAGGAGUAGACUUCAUCUUGUAAAGCAGAGUGAGCCGUGGAGGAUUGCCAGUAAGGGAGUAACGCUGAAGACGCGAUGGUGGGUUUGAAAGGGUGAGGAGACCAUCGGAGCCUGUGAUCCUUGCAUCCUGGAUAGAGAACGAAGACGUGAAGUAAGAUGGUGCCGGCUUUGGGCUGUUAUGAGGCCAAGGCUUUAUCAACCUUUGUUUCAAGCUUUAUUCCCAGGCUUCUUCAGCUUAAUUAGCUGCAAAGAAUGAAUUGUAUAAGUAAAAACUGAAAAGAGCUGCAGUAUCGAAGGGGCAGGAAUGAAAAGAAGAGAUAAAUGAGGAAAUGUUUAGAAAGCUGAGCUGGCAGAAGUUAAAUUUGAUUGGCUGUGUGAAGUAAGGGAGAAAGAGUCAGGGUGACUUCUGGGGGUCUCGUUUGGUGAGGUGUGAGAGCCCUGACGUGGGUACACAGGAGGAGACGCACCAGCGGCGGAGGGGACCUUUUCAGCCUCUGCAGAACGCUCUCAGCGCUAAUAUGGCAGAGCCAUUUGUCAUUGGCUCAGUUUGCUGGACACAUGACCGGUCAAGUUCAUCCAACUGGAACUUGCCUUCCUUGCCUUCUUAAUUCAUUGCACCAGGUGAGGAUUUUGGCUGGAGUAUGAGGAAGAGAAUCAAGCCUUGGUCAGAAAUGUGACACCAUCAAUCGCAAACUUGUUGAUUUCAAUAGAUACACAGUCCAGAGGAAAUUUCCCAGAUGCUGUUGUCACUGCGUGCGGAGACUAAGCCUCACUUCAUGAUCGGACCGGCUGCUCUCCCUCCUUGAGAGGUGAAGCUAUUCCUCCUGCUUCCAUGUGACCGUGGUCACUGACACGAUGGAAUAAGCAGUUGGCUUAAUGAUGUCACUUAAUGGGCUGUGGAAUUUUAAUGCAGGCAGUUCUUCGUGUAAAUACUGUCAGGAAAGAGGUUUUCCUUUCUUUUCUUUCUUUUUUUUUUAAUCUUCAAGAGAAGCUGUUUUAAUUAAACAAAGGGCAGGAACUUCCUUCCUGAAUGGUUAAAGCCCUCUUGAUUAUACUAGCAAUGUGCUGAUUACAAACUGCUCCUUGGCCAUUUCUGCUGCAUUUACCAGAAUCCUUGUUAAAUAACAUUUUCCCAAAAACGAUGCGAGAAAAAGCAAACAAUGGAGCAUACAAGUGGUUGACAGAUAGGAAAAAACUCAACGAAUAGAAAAGCUUUUAUGCUUCUUCACUUUGAGAUAAAGGAAAAAAAUAUACACCUUUCUCUUUAAAAUAUUAUUUUUAGGUAAAAAGUUGGUUUCAUUGACAUUAUUACAUAUGUUAACUUCAUGCUCAAUGCAAUCUUUGAAAAGAGGUAAGAUUUUUAAAUAGAUGUUCCUAUUACAGAACAUUCAGACAAUACAGAUAAGCAAAAAGAGGAAAAUACACAUCUCUCACAAUUUCUCCACUCUGAGAUAAUCCAUGUUAAAGUGGUUUUUCAGUUUUCUUUCCUUACAUCCAGGGUGAAGGGAAAAGCAUUCACCAGUUUGUUGUGGGGAGAGCAUGGUCCCUGUCUGAAAGGAACAUACUGAUGGUUUGAUUGGUGGAGGCCGCAAACGAUAAGCUCAAAAAAAAAAAAAAAAUCCAGUCUGCUGGGGCCUCCUAAACAGAGAGGUGCUGGGGGCUCCGGAAUCACUUCGUGCUUCAAGCUGUAAUGCAUGGGGUCUGCAGUUCCAGGAUCGGAGUUGGGGGUCAAGCUGAAUCUUUCUAUGUAAGAGAAAUGAAAGGAUUUUGAGGUCCGUUUUGGGAAGGAGCAAGAUGCCAAAUUAGGAGAAGGAAAAUGGGAUCAAGAGAGGUGGCCAUGGCAGGAGGGAUGGGGAGAUAAGAAAAACUCUUGAAGCUGCACGGUCUGGGAAGGACCUCUGGUUUCAUGUGAGAUACACGAUGCAUCCUGCAUCUUCUGGGAUUCUUCCAAAAAAUGUCAAGGAAUUCUUCAUCAGUCGCUAAUGCUUUUGAGGGAGUAGGUUCUUUUCCUUUACACAUAGGGUCCUUGCUACCUGGGUAUUGAUUAUCGGAGUCCCCCCAGUUGCCAGUUUUUUUCUUUUCCAUUGUGGUUUAUUACAGGAUAUUGACUACAGUUCCCUGUGCUCUACAGUAGGACCUUGUUGUUUAUCCAUCCUAUAUAUGAGUUUGCAUCUGCUAAUCCCACACUCCCAAUCCAUCCCUCCCCCUUGGCAACCACAAGUCUGCUCUCUAUGUCUGUGAGUCUGUUUCACAGAGACGUUCUUUUGUGUCAUAUUUCAGGUUCCACAUAUAAGUGAUAUCAUAUGUAUUUGUCUUUGGCUUACUUUACUUGGUAUGAUAAUCUCUAGAUUCAUCCAUGUUGCUGCAAAUGACAUUAUUUCAUUCUUUUUUAUGGCUGAGUAGUAUUCCAUUGUGUAUAUAUAUAUAUCAUAUCUAUAUCUAUAUACAUCACAUCUUUCUCUGUUCAUCUGUCGAUGGACACGUAGGUUGUUUCCACGUCUUGGCUAUUGUGAAUAGUGCUGCUGUGACCAUAGGGGUGCGUGGAUCGUUUUGAAUUAGAGUUUUGUCUGGAUGUGUGCCCAGGAGUGGGUUUGCUGGGUCAUAUAGCACCAGCUGCCACUUUGUUGGAGGAAGUCCAGGCUAACUAGUGUGACAACAUUCCCUAAUGCUCUGGCCACACAUAAAGUCAGUCAAUGCUAGAUAAUCUCUCCCCAUUUUUUUACUCCAAGAUUAUAUUUUGUAUUUUGUUUUAAGUAGGCUUUUUCUCUCUAUCUAAAAUGAAGAAGCAGAGCUGGUCUCCACCCACUGUUUUCUUGUCACUCUCUCCACGUUGUCUGAUGUGGUCAGCUUCUGGAGAGCAUAGCUCCAACAGAAUGCACAUUACUGCAAAGUGGAUUUCAAAUCUUGCAAAACAGUUGGGAUUUCAUGAGAGUGUUGAAAGUGAUAUUGAGAGAACUGCUCAAAACAUCUGCAGAGUCACUGACAAAUGAGGACCUGGCCGAAUUAGAGCAGUCAACGAUAGAGAGAAACUCAGCAAGGAUGAUCUCAGAUGCUGUUUCAGAGUGUGAUCUUACUACCAAAGGAUUAGGGGAGGUCCCCGGGAAAAGGGAUGAAGCACUUGAAUUGGGCAAAAGCAAUUUUGGAUUUUGGAUUUUGGACUUUAUGGAUUCAUUGUGAAACUCAACAGUGCUGCUAAGCCCAUCAUAGAUCUACUGAGGAUUCCCUUUGUUCAUUCUGAGAAGUGGUGCGUGGAUACAGUUUUUGUUUUUUUUAACGUCUUUAUUGGAGUAUAAUUGCUUUACAAUGGUGUGUUAGUUUCUGCUUUAUAACAAAGUGAAUCAGUUAUACAUAUGUUCCCAUAUCUCUUCCAUCUCCCUCCCUCCCACCCUCCCUGUCCCACCCCUCUAGGUGGUCACAAAGCACCGAGCUGAUCUCCCUGUGCUAUGCAGCUGCUUCCCACUAGCUAUCUAUUUUACGUUUGGUAAUGUAUAUAUGUCCAUGCCACUCUCUCACUUUGUCCCAGCUUACCCUUCCCCCUCCCCACAUCCUCAAGUCCAUUCUCUAGUAAGUCUGUGUCUUUAUUCCUGUCCUGCCCACAGGUUCUUCAUGACCAUUUUUUUCCCCUUAGAUUCCAUAUACAUGUGUUAGCAUACGGUAUUUGUUUUUCUCUUUCUGACUUACUUCACUCUGUAUGACAGACUCUAGGUCCAUCCACCUCACUACAAAUAACUCAAUUUCGUUUCUUUUUAUGGCUGAGUAAUAUUCCAUUGUAUAUAUGUGCCGCAUCUUCUUUAAUGGAUACAGUUUUAACCUGCGUCGUGUUAAGUGUCAGAUAAACUUGUUUUUUCCCUCGUUAGUUUGGUUUUUCCAGAUAAAAUUUGAAUCAAACUUCAUUUUCGGACUCUGUAGUAUAAAAUUUUUAGCUCAUUAUAGAAAAUCCAGAACGGGCAAAUAUAGAGAUAAUCGUGUAGUAAACUGCCUUGUAUGCAUUACCAAGCUUGAACAGUUAUUAACUAAUGGCCAAUUUUAAAAAGUUUUUCUUCAAAUGAGAACAUAAUGUAUAGGUAUGGAGUGCAUAAAUCAUACUUGUACAGCUUGUAAAUUUCCACCAAUUAAAAAUUCUAUUUAAUGACCAUACAAAUCAAGAGAUGCAAUGUCACCAGCACCCUGCUGAGGUUCUGACAAGCUGAGUGGUCCAAGCAGGUCGCUGGCCUCUCCAAGCUUCAUCUUCUUCAUCCAUAAAAAGGGGUCUGAGUUCAUACCAUCACGACGUUUCUGAGACAAGUGGGUUAAGUGAGAUAAAAGCACACUGUCCACGCUCAGUAAAUCGUGGUCUUCUUUAAAAUGACAUCUUUCUUCUACAAACAUUUCCCCAUCACGUUCUCUGGCAGGGGGCGGUCUCCUUCCA